CCUACGGGUGGCUGCAGUGGGGAAUAUUGGACAAUGGGGGCAACCCUGAUCCAGCCAUGCCGCGUGUGUGAAGAAGGCCCUCGGGUUGUAAAGCACUUUCAGUGAGGAAGAACGCCUGGUGGUUAAUACCCAUCAGGAAAGACAUCACUCACAGAAGAAGCACCGGCUAACUCCGUGCCAGCAGCCGCGGUAAUACGGAGGGUGCGAGCGUUAAUCGGAAUUACUGGGCGUAAAGCGCGCGUAGGUGGCUUGAUAAGCCGGUUGUGAAAGCCCCGGGCUCAACCUGGGAACGGCAUCCGGAACUGUCAAGCUAGAGUGCAGGAGAGGAAGGUAGAAUUCCCGGUGUAGCGGUGAAAUGCGUAGAGAUCGGGAGGAAUACCAGUGGCGAAGGCGGCCUUCUGGACUGACACUGACACUGAGGUGCGAAAUCGUGGGUAGCAAACAGGAUUAGAUACCCGGGUAGUC
This 465-nucleotide ribosomal RNA is filed under the name Vreelandella stevensii. Its description in RNAcentral is "partial 16S ribosomal RNA". It matches the Rfam family "Bacterial small subunit ribosomal RNA", at positions 338 to 795 of the family's 1533-position model. Lineage: Bacteria; Pseudomonadati; Pseudomonadota; Gammaproteobacteria; Oceanospirillales; Halomonadaceae. The record is from RNAcentral.